UAUCCGUAGGUGAACCUGCGGAGGGAUCACUACUGGCUUGCAAAAGCUCUGAAACCACUGUUUAUCUACCUGAAUCUACUUCGGCGGGCGGCCCCAGGGCGGGGCCGUAGCCGCAAGGCGCCCGCCGAAGACCCCUAAACUCUGUCGUCUUGAGAAUCUCUGAGUAUCAUAUUAAACAGAAAACAACUUUCAACAACGGAUCUCUUGGCUCUG
Molecule: unclassified non-coding RNA, 213 nt
Filed under: plant metagenome
Description: partial contains small subunit ribosomal RNA, internal transcribed spacer 1, and 5.8S ribosomal RNA
Source: RNAcentral